UCGGUUUUGAAGCGCGAGCGCUCUCCGCCGUUCCUCCGUUUAAAGCCGAGCGCGACCGUUACAGCGGUUUACAGUGAGCGAGUCUGUCAGGUCGCUACCGCGAGCAGUUUAUCGAGUUUGUUUAGCGAGUGUUAAACCUCGAUAAGCCUCUCUUACACUCCUUACUGAGACAGCGCCGCCUGCCGGGUGACGCUUUCAGCUCCACAAACGAGGAGUUUCAGCUGCGUAGCUGACUAAAGUUACCUGACUGGACCGAGUGGAGUGGAGACUGGUUUUACGACUGGAGUCCCGACUGCAGCGGUCAGAGUCUGCUUUUAAAAGAUGUUUCUCAUCAGAAAUCAUCUGAAGCUGAGCAACUGGAACAUCCUCUCUUUGGGCCUCAUCCUUCUUUCAUUACACUGAACAUCAUUGUCUGAACAUCAGCUAUGCGUGUGAGCUGGGUGCCACGCUGGAGUUCAUGCAUAGCGAGCUUGGCAUGCCCUCACACAACGCAACACGUCUACCGGAGCCCGUGUAUUGGCGGAACCGCUCUGGCGCUUGAUCAGUCAGAGCCAAGUGAGCGAGCUAACUAAUCUGAGCGUACUGGGCUCAUCAGGAAGGAGGGGCUUAAAGACACUGGAGCUCUAACAGAGCGUUUCAGACAGAGGAUGCAUUUUCCUCAUAUCUCUGACAAAGAAGACCAACACUGAGAAAAAACAGAGGAAGAAGUGAUGGGCUGUGAAUCUGACAGUUCUCUCACUCAUCACGGAUUUAACUCUGAAAGGAGAGAUCGGUAACAUUAGCAGUGUGAUAUCAGUAAUGUUAGUGUUCAGGCAUUACGGCAUGGACAUAUGCACAUCGAGUUGUCUGUGUCCUGUUUCCUGUGUCCACAUAUGUCCACAGCUUGACUCUAUUCCAGCUACCAGCACAUCUGAGUCUGGUAUUAAUUGUUUGACAGCUGAUCAUUAUCUGGCUCAGGUAUGUUAUGAGUGCUGCUGGGGUUCAGACCUCUGUAUUACUCUGUUGGUCAGUUUGUCCAUAUUAAUUUGUCUUAAAAUUGUUUCCCAUCAUUUAUAAUUGUUCAUAGUACUAUGAUUAUGAGUACUUGUUAAUAACCUCAGCAUAACUUAUAUACGGAAUAACAGCAGACCUUAAAAUCAGAUUCAUUGGUUUGUGGAACUGUGUAUUUAUUGCAGUAUAUUUCAAAUUUCUACACAAAGUCAGUUAACAUGUUUUUCUCCGUCUGUAGGACAUAUCAAGUGUGAUGACGCUAUUGUACUGUGCAUAUACACAGUUGUAAAAACAAUAACUGUAAUUAUAUUUUUUGAAAGCUA
Colossoma macropomum (tambaqui) is the source of this 1313-nucleotide long non-coding RNA. RefSeq lists it as uncharacterized. The transcript has 5 exons. The record is from RefSeq and is a predicted model, not a curated record. NCBI's taxonomy places the organism in Eukaryota, Metazoa, Chordata, Actinopteri, Characiformes, Serrasalmidae.